AGCGGUAGGGAAUCUUCGGCAAUGGACGAAAGUCUGACCGAGCAACGCCGCGUGAGUGAAGAAGGUUUUCGGAUCGUAAAACUCUGUUGGUAGAGAAGAACGUUGGUGAGAGUGGAAAGCUCAUCAAGUGACGGUAACUACCCAGAAAGGGACGGCUAACUACGUGCCAG
Molecule: ribosomal RNA, 170 nt
Filed under: uncultured bacterium
Lineage: Bacteria
Description: partial 16S rRNA
Rfam family: Bacterial small subunit ribosomal RNA
Source: RNAcentral